CGGCGUCAUUAUGAAUUAAUUAACAUUAAUUCCCUGUUCUGGUAUCUCCUAUUGCCAGGAGCCUUAGCCUGGGAUUUAUUUUUUUUUUUUCCCUCCCCCCAAAUGGGAACGGCCAGGUCCAGGCUAUGCCUGGUGGAAAGCCGGGGGAGGCAACAGGGCUAGGGGACCAUGGGGUCCCUUGUCCCUGUCCCCAUCCUUCAGGGCAGGUGGCAUUGGGGCAGGGGAAGGAUUUCCUCGUUGGCUCUGGAAAGGCCUGAUCCUGCCUCCCCAGCUUGUGCUGGGGGCACCAGGGAUGCUGCUCCCUGGGAUGCUAAUGCCAAGGGUCCUGUCCCCAGGGAUGCUGUCCCCAGGGAGGUUAUAUGGGGGGUGCUGUCCCCAGGGGUGCUGUCCUCAGGUAUUCUGUCCCUAUGGAUGCUGAUCCAGGGAUGCUAAUGCCGAGGAGGCUGACCCCGGGAGGCUGACCCUCUGCAUUUUCAGGGACGGGGACGUACCCAUAGCGGGUGGGAGCAGGCUGGGAGUGAGGCCGGGAUCCUGUGUCCCCCCAGCUGGUGUUCAUCCUGCUCCCGGAGGGUGACAGCACCCAGGAGCCCCAUCCUGGCCACCGGGCUCUGUUCCCAUGUUUUCACCUGCGAGGUCAUGGCCAAGGAACACGGGGGAGGGGGGAUCAGUGGGGUGUGGGCGCAGCGCCCACCACCUCCCACCCCACACCACCACCACCCUUGUGCCCCCACACAUCCCCCUACCGCUGCCCCCUGCCACCACCUUCCACAGGGCCACAGCGACCCCAGGGCCACCCCGAGCCCCCCGCACCCCUCGCAGCACAGGGCUGAGGGGCUGGGGAUCCCCACGGUGCUCCGCGAGCCUCAGGGACCGAGGACACGUCUGGAAGUGAGCCACUGAAAGAAACGCCAGGAAAAAUAAGCCUUGGGUAGCAGCUACUCUUUUCGUGCCAGUUUUGGCCUUCCCAAAUGGAGUUCUCUCAUCCUGGGGGGGCCCCAAAGGGCCCCCCUGGUGCUCAGCGUGCCGGGCUGAGAACGCCCUCCAACUCAUCACACCCGGGGGCCAGCUAAUCUCCAUCUGACAGCGAGUCAUCCUUCCCACCGCGCUGCAGGCUGUAAUGACAACGUGCUUAAAGGGGCUGAUGAAUUAAGUGCAUCUUAUAAAUGCAUCAAAUUCCCGUAUAAUUACAGCGCGAUGGAUUAUGUGUGGUGCUGAAGGGGAAGCAAUUCAGCGAGGCGAAGGAAUUACAGUCAGCGAGGAGAGGCCCCGAAGCCGAGUUGCGCGCAGCUCAGCUCUCGUGGUGCUGUACGGCCAGGGCUGGCGCGGAGCUGCCGUGGAGCAGUGCUGAGCGAGUGCCGGCACAGAGGGCUUGUCCCAGCUGCUGCUAAAGGGUUAAGGGAGGCAGGCUGGCCCCAGCGGGCUCCGGAGGGGGCUGGAGGGGAUCGUGCUGGGCUGGGCUCCGUCCCCUCUUCUCCUCUUCUCCCCAGGAGGAGAAGACCCUGCUGCCCGCAGGCUGGCACGGGUCAGCAAGGGUCUGGGGGCUUUGUCUGCUUCUUGUCGUGACACCCUGCUGCUCUGUGCACACACACGGGUGCUCCUGUGUGAUACGGCAGUCAGCAGCUAGUGCUUGAGCAGCUGAAAGACGAGAGACUCUGAUUUUCCUUUCCUUUCCUUUCCUUUCCUUUCCUUUCCUUUCCUUUCCUUUCCUUUCCUUUCCUUUCCUUUCCUUUCCUUUCCUUUCCUUUCCUUUCC
Anser brachyrhynchus (Pink-footed goose) is the source of this 1752-nucleotide long non-coding RNA. NCBI's taxonomy places the organism in Eukaryota, Metazoa, Chordata, Aves, Anseriformes, Anatidae. The record is from Ensembl.